AGAGUUUGAUCCUGGCUCAGGAUGAACGUUGGCGGUGUGCCUAAUACAUGCAAGUCGAACGGUGACGAUUUUGUAGCAAUACGAAUGAAAUCAUAGUGGCGAACGGGUGAGUAACGCGUUGGUGAUCUGCCUCGAAGUGUGGAAUAACUUCCCGAAAGGGUAGCUAAUACCGCAUAGUCUCUCAAGGUUUAGAAAAUUGAGAGUAAAGGAUUUAUUCGCUUCGAGAGGAGCCUGCGUCCCAUCAGCUAGUUGGUAGGGUAAUAGCCUACCAAGGCAAUGACGGGUAGGGGACCUGAGAGGGUGGCCCCCCACAAUGGAACUGAAACACGGUCCAUACACCUACGGGUGGCAGCAGUAGGGAAUAUUAGAAAUGGGCGAAAGCCUGAUCUAGCAACACCGCGUGUGCGAUGAAGGCCUUCGGGUUGUAAAGCACUUUUUGGAGGGAAUAGGAAGGAAGGUACCUCCAGAAUAAGUCUCGGCUAACUACGUGCCAGCAGCCGCGGUAACACGUAGGAGGCAAACGUUAUCCGGAUUCACUGGGCGUAAAGCGCGUGUAGGUGGUUCUGUAAGUAGGGCGUGAAAGCUCCCGGCUCAACUGGGAGAGGCCGUACUAAACUGCAGAGCUAGAGGAUGGUAGAGGGAGGUGGAAUUCCAGGUGUAGUGGUGAAAUGCGCAGAUAUCUGGAGGAACACCAGUGGCGAAGGCGCGCCUCCUGGACCAUUCCUGACACUCAGACGCGAAAGCUAGGGUAGCAAACGGAAUUAGAGACUCCGGUAGUCCUAGCCCUAAACGAUGCAGACUAGGCGUCGGCGGUUUAAUCACCGUCGGUGUCCAAGCUAACGCGAUAAGUCUGCCGCCUGAGGACUACGGCCGCAAGGCUAAAACUCAAAGGAAUUGACGGGUCCCCGCACAAGCAGCGGAGCGUGUGGUUUAAUUUGAUGCUCCGCGAAGAACCUUACCUGGUCUUGACAUCUGCAGAACUUUCCAGAGAUGGAUUGGUGCCUUCGGGAACUGCAAGACAGGUGCUGCAUGGCUGUCGUCAGCUCGUGUCGUGAGAUGUUCGGUUAAGUCCGGCAACGAGCGCAACCCUUGUCCUUAUUUGCCAGCACGUAAUGGUGGGAACUCUAAGGAGACUGCCGGUGAUAAACCGGAGGAAGGUAGGGAGGACGUCAAGUCAUCAUGGCCCUUAUGACCAGGGCUACACACGUACUACAAUGGCGAUUACAGAGGGAGGGGAGACCGCGAGGUGGAGCAAAUCCCUAAAAGUCGCCCCAGUUCAGAUUGCAGGCUGCAACUCGCCUGCAUGAAGUAGGAAUUGCUAGUAAUGGCAGGUCAGCAUACUGCCGUGAAUACGUUCCCGGGCCUUGUACUCACCGCCCGUCA
RNAcentral lists this ribosomal RNA (1383 nucleotides) under uncultured bacterium. RNAcentral describes it as "bacterial SSU rRNA". It matches the Rfam family "Bacterial small subunit ribosomal RNA". The record is from RNAcentral.